ACACCUUAAAUGGUUUUAAUAAGGUAAAGUUUUACAUUUAGUAAAUGAUCUCUUACAAACAAAUCUAAGUGUAAGGACAGGGUUUCACCAGAAUGUGAUGCGUAUCUGCUUUAGUAGCUUUUCUACAUCCGCCCAAGCGAAAACAAUAUUAUAUUAAUAAAUCAUAAGAGGCUUCUAUUAGCUUGAUAAAUAAGCACAUUUAAAAUACAAGUUAGAAAAGGAUUUGUUUAAAUACUUUAAAUAGUCUUUGUCAUACCAUUCUAGUGAUGCCUAAUACAAUUUUCAUUUUUCGAAGAUUUUUGGUAGAAAUUUAAUCUUUGAAAAUAUUAAUAACAGCUUACAGCAGGUAAGCUAUAAAAUAACACUGGAUGCUGUCUAUUUAGUUUCUGGUUGAAAAAGCACAGCAGUACUUUAGUUCAUUACCUUUGAAAAAAACAGUAACAAGAUAAUACAGCUGCCUCUGAUUAAGAUGUAAAUUCUUUCUAAUUAGAAUGUAAAUUCUUACAUUUAAAUGAAGACAUCAAUUGUCAGGAUGCCAUAUGAUAUCUUAUUCCACCUUGCCUGAAUGCAGCCCUCACUGCUCAUCUAUGGCACUAAAAUAGUUUUGCAGUCCCUUUGUUCUCUGAUUCUUGUAAUAUUCUCUCUUCAUG
This 650-nucleotide long non-coding RNA is filed under the name Bos taurus (domestic cattle). RNAcentral describes it as "long non-coding RNA NONBTAT007284". Lineage: Eukaryota; Metazoa; Chordata; Mammalia; Artiodactyla; Bovidae. The record is from RNAcentral.